UUGUCUUUUAAAUAAAGACCAGUAUGAAUGGCAAGACGAAAGUUCAACUGUCUCCCUAAAUUAAUCAAUGAAAUUGAUCUUCCCGUGCAGAAGCGGGAAUAUAAAUAUAAGACGAGAAGACCCUAUGGAGCUUUAAAUAUAUGGUCAAUUGUAUAUUACAUAAACCAAAAGGUAAAAUAUUAAAUAAAACAUAGUGAUCAAAAUUUUAGGUUGGGGCGACCACGGAGAAAAACAAAACCUCCGAGAUGAAAAAAAUCUUAACUUAUGAACUACAGUUCUAAAAAAUAAAAUAUUUAACAUAAUUGAUCCAAUAUAUUGAUCAACGAACCAAGUUACCCUAGGGAUAACAGCGCAAUCCUUUCCAAGAGUUCCUAUCGACGAAUGGGUUUACGACCUCGAUGUUGGAUCAGGACACCCCGAUGGUGUAGCCGCUAUUAAAGGUUCGUUUGUUCAACGAUUAAAGU
Molecule: ribosomal RNA, 464 nt
Filed under: Pseudohynobius flavomaculatus (yellow-spotted salamander)
Lineage: Eukaryota; Metazoa; Chordata; Amphibia; Caudata; Hynobiidae
Description: partial 16S ribosomal RNA
Rfam family: Bacterial large subunit ribosomal RNA
Source: RNAcentral